RNAcentral lists this microRNA (22 nucleotides) under Bos taurus (domestic cattle). Its description in RNAcentral is "bta-miR-2474". Lineage: Eukaryota; Metazoa; Chordata; Mammalia; Artiodactyla; Bovidae. The record is from miRBase by way of RNAcentral.
UACCGGGCCAGCUGGAAGGAGA